AUGCAUUUUCAUGAUAGAGAUAAUAUUGAAAGGAGUAUGAUGAUGUCAGACAUCAUAUAUUACAAUUUGGUAGCACUGAUGGAGACGGAAGGGUAUGGUUUUAGAGAUUAUAUGUAUUAUGUGAGGGACCCUGGGCUAGGGAUUGAAGGAAUGGAAGAAAUAGAUGAUGAUGAUAAGUUAGAGGAAAUUUUAGACCACGUAGCAGAGCAGAAUAACAAGAUAUUGAAUGUGACAAUAGUUAGGGCCAGUGCAGAGAAAGUUCCCAAUAUAAAUACCAGUGUUAAUGUCAUUGAGAUGCAGACCCCAAUAGAACAAAUUGGAGAGCCCAAACUGUAUCAGAUUGAUGAUGAAGGAGUGUUGUUCAAUGCUGAAAAUGUGCAUGUAGAAGCUGAGAGUUGUGAUGCGGGAGGAGAACAAGAGCCAAUGCCCUUGCAGUUUGACACACAGCAGAGCAGAAUAAAUGUGAGCCUGGAAUCUGCUUUAGGUGAUGCAGUAGUGGAAGAAUACCAUGUGACUGACAAUUCAGAGGAGCAACUGUUAAUAGAGCAAGAAAUGGAGGAGAAAAGGAGAAAUGAAAUUGAAAUGUUUAGGAACAACAAGAAGGAAAGAGUGAAUGAGACUUGUUUGAACAAGAAGGAAAGAGUGAAGGAGACUUGUUUGAACAGGAAAGCAGCAGUGAUGGACAAUGAAGAGGAUAGUGAUGAUGAUGAUCUAGUAAAAUAUGGUGAUAUCUUAGCUAGGCUUGAGGAGAUGAGAAGACAGAGGAAUGACCCAGAACUUCAUUUUGAAGGGGACACGGAUGUUGAGGAAAUGUGUGACUCAGAGGUGGAUGAUGAGCUGUAUGUGCCACAAGGUGAAGAAGAGGAUGUAGAGGAGGAAGAGGAGGAGGAAUUGGAGGAAGAGGAACAAGAGGAUGAGCUAGGGCAAGGUGUACCAAACAAGAGAAGGGCCAAGAGACAAAGAAAAGGCCCAACAAGCAAUUCACAUGGGAGUAUAGAACACAUGUUUGAGGAGGACUGGAUUUCAUCAUUUGAUGAGGACAAGAAACCACAAGACCUUGGUGUGGAAGAUGAUGAUGGUGUUGAGGCAUUGGCAUAUGUGUUGCCCAAUGGUAGAAAAAGCAGAGCAAAGAAGAUGAAGAAGAGGUUAUGGUUUGAUGAGCACAGAGCUCAUCCAGAGGAGCAAUUUGUGAAGCAUAUUUGCUUCUUAAAUGUGUACCAGUUUAGAACUGCACUUCAAACCCUGCACAUUGCUCAAAACAGGAACUUUGUCUACCACAGAAACUGCGGUGAUAGGGUGAUAGCACAGUGCAUAGAUGAGCAAUGUCCCUUCUAUAUAGCAGCUUCUCAGAUUGCAAAUGAGAAGUCAUUUACAAUUAGGAAGGUGUAUUUAGUGCACACAUGCCCUUCUAUGUCAGAGAACACUAAAGUCACUGCUAAGUGGGUUUCAAAAUUUUGUGAGGAGGCUAUCAGAAAUGACCCAUGCACAACAAUCACAAGUAUUAUUAAUACUGCAAAGAGCAAGUAUGGUGUGGACAUAUCAACACACAUGGCAUACAGGGCAAAGAGGGCAGCAAAGGCUGUUGUGUUAGGAGACCAGAAAGCCCAGUACACCAGGAUUAGGGAUUAUUUACAGGCUGUGUUGGAUACAAAUCCAGGUUCAAGAUGCAUUGUGACAAUAAGAUAUCUGAAGGAGCAUCCAAGCACUAACCCUAGGUUUCAUGCACUGUUCAUAUGCUUGAAUGGAUGCAAAGAAGGGUUUCUCAAUGGCUGCAGACCAUUCAUAGGUCUGGAUGGUUGUUUCAUCAAGCUCACUACUGGUCAACAAAUUCUAGCUGCAACUGGAAGAGAUGGGAACAAUAAUAUUUUCCCCAUUGCCUUUGGAAUUGUUGAUAAGGAGGACACUAACUCCUGGACCUGUUUUUUAUACCAGUUGAGACAAGCAUUAGGUGGAGAAUCUGGGAAGUUUGGGAACUACACAAUAAUUUCAGAUAGGCAGAAGGGCCUUUUAAAAGCCAUUACCAAAGUGUUUCUCAAUUGUCCCCAAAGGUUUUGUCUUAGACAUAUCUACCAGAACUUUCAAAAUGAUGGGUUUAGAGGGCCUGAAUUAAAGCAAUACAUGAAUGCAGCUAGUUAUUCAUAUACUGAACAUGGUUUUAAAACUGCAAUGGCUGCAUUAAAGAAUGAGAGUGAGGCUGCUUGGGAAUGGCUAAGCAAAAUACCUAAACACACUUGGGCCAGACAUGCAACAGAUAUGAACUGCAAAACAGACUUAGUUGUUAAUAAUCUAAGUGAGGUUUUCAACAAGUGGGUUCUAGAUGUCAGGGCUAAACCAAUUAGAACCAUGGUGGAUGGAAUUAGGACAAAGUUAAUGGUCAAGUUCAAUGCAAAUAGAGCAAAGAUUGAGACUGUAAGAUGGGAAAUUUAUCCAACAUAUGCUGAGAAAUUAGAGGAAGCAAAGAAGUUUGCAAGGAACUGUCAUGCUUUGAUGGCUGGGCCCAAUCUUUACCAAGUCACUAGUGGGGAGAGAACUUAUGUUGUGAACCUACAACAUAGGACUUGUGGGUGCAAGAAGUGGGAUAUGACAGAAGUUCCUUGCAAUCAUGUUAUUUCUGCCAUACACAAGGCUAAGCUUCAGCCAGAGGACUUUGUUCAUGAUUUCUUCAAAAAAAAGAUGUACCUGGCAGCUUACAGUCCCAUUAUAUAUCCUGUACCUGAACCUGAUAUGUGGCCAAGGACAGACAGUAUGGACAAUGAGGCUCCAGUUUUCAAAGAACACAAGGGAAGGGCACAGACUAAGAGGAGAAAGGGCCAAUAUGAGAAGCCAGCUCCCAAAAACACCUCAAAAAUGGCCUCAAUUACCUACUCUAAUUGCAAAAAGGUUGGCCAUAGAUACACCAACUGUAAUGUUGCUUUGAAUCCAUCACUGGCAAUGAGAAAGAAUAGGCAUGAGCCAAGCAGCAGCUCCUAUGAACUUGAUGCAGCCACACCAGCAAGGAGGGCCUCUUCUGCUGCUGGUGCUGCUGCUACUGCACCAUCACCAGCAAGGAGGGCCUCUUCUUCUGCUGGUGCUGCUGCUACUGCACCAUCACCAGCACAGAGGGCAUCUUCUUCUUGUGCUACAGCACCUGGACCAGUAAAGAAGAGGGCCUCUUCUGCUUCUGGAACAACAACUGGACCACCAAAGAAGAGGGCAUCUUCUGCUUCUGCAACAGCACCUGGACCACCAAAGAAGAGGGCCACUUCUGCUGCACCACCACAGAGGACAGCUGCUUGUAGUUCAUCAUCUGCUGCAAAGGGUAAAACAGCAGUAACUAGAUCUUCAGCUGCUGCAAAGGGAGCAAGCACAUCUUUCUUGCCUCCAAGGCCAACUGGUGUUUCCCAAAGAAUCAGGAAGCCCACCCAGAAAAUUAGAGAUUACUUGACUGCUUCAGGUGCUCCAUGGGAAUGA
RNAcentral lists this ribosomal RNA (3450 nucleotides) under Triticum aestivum (bread wheat). Its description in RNAcentral is "partial small subunit ribosomal RNA". The record is from RNAcentral. Lineage: Eukaryota; Viridiplantae; Streptophyta; Magnoliopsida; Poales; Poaceae.